This 381-nucleotide unclassified non-coding RNA is filed under the name uncultured bacterium. Its description in RNAcentral is "contains 16S-23S intergenic spacer region". The record is from RNAcentral.
UCCUGGUUUCCCAGGCAGUCUGGUUAGAGUGCCAUCUUGCGAUAGGCAACUAACCACAGGGGUUGCGCUCGUUCAAGGACUUAACCCGACGUCUCACGACACGAGCUGACGACAGCCAUGCAGCACCUGUGUAACCGUCCGUAUUGCUACGGAACCCAAUAUUUCUACCAGUGGCAGUUACAUGUCAAACCCAGGUAAGGUUCCUCGCGUAGUGUCGAAUUAAACCACAUGUUCCACCGCUUGUGCGGACCCCCGUCAAUUCCUUUGAGUUUUAAUCUUGCGACCGUACUUCCCAGGUGGAUCACUUAACGCGUUAGCUUCGACACAGAACCUGCUAAGCAAGUCCCACAUCUAGUGAUCAUCGUUUACAGCGUGGACUAC